This 460-nucleotide ribosomal RNA is filed under the name uncultured bacterium. Its description in RNAcentral is "partial 16S ribosomal RNA". It matches the Rfam family "Bacterial small subunit ribosomal RNA", at positions 338 to 795 of the family's 1533-position model. The record is from RNAcentral.
CCUACGGGAGGCUGCAGUGAGGAAUAUUGGUCAAUGGGCGCGAGACUGAACCAGCCAAGUAGCGUGAAGGAUGACUGCCCUACGGGUUGUAAACUUCUUUUAUAAAGGAAUAAAGUGAGGCACGUGUGCCUUUUUGUAUGUACUUUAUGAAUAAGGAUCGGCUAACUCCGUGCCAGCAGCCGCGGUAAUACGGAGGAUCCGAGCGUUAUCCGGAUUUAUUGGGUUUAAAGGGAGCGUAGAUGGGUUGUUAAGUCAGUUGUGAAAGUUUGCGGCUCAACCGUAAAAUUGCAAUUGAUACUGGCAGUCUUGAGUACAGUUGAGGUAGGCGGAAUUCAUGGUGUAGCGGUGAAAUGCUUAGAUAUCACGAAGAACUCCGAUUGCGAAGGCAGCUUACUAAACUGCCACUGACAUUGAUGCUCGAAAGUGUGGGUAUCAAACAGGAUUAGAUACCCCAGUAGUC